CUUGCUUCUCCCUGUGUCUCCCGGUGACUUCACCCUUCUUCAUCCCAAGGCUCUCUCCCUAUCUACACGUCCUGCCGAUUGUCUUCCUGCCUAGCUGUUGAUCAUUUAGUUCUUUAUUAAACCAAUGAGAGCAACACAUCUUCACAGAUUGUUCCACAAUGUUCACCCCAGUUUGGGUGAGUAUGGAAGGUACCAUGUGCCCUUUAGGGAGGGCACUCCCACCAAGCAAGCAUGACAGUUGCUCAGCUGUCUGGUUAGGGAUGGGAGGUAGAGUGUACCGUGUUUAGGUGUGCUGCUGUCACCCAUGGAUGGACUAACUCAAAAAAUGAUGGGCAAAAGAAGGCAACGAACUCUGCUUUCUGGGUCUCCAGCAAACGUGGCACAAUGGCCAGUUCUACAGAGACUUUGAGGUCUGCUGCUGCAUGAAAGGAGUCCUGCCCCCGCCCACUCCUUCUCUGGACCUUUAGUCUCUGACGGUGAGUAGGCCCCAUCAUCUCUCAAUCACCCAUCCUGACAUGGAUGCUACCGACAUGUAUUCUUCUGCAGAAUCCCUUCAUGGAGGCUCUGUCUGCCUGUCUCAUCCAACCAAGUCUCGCCUCCUCCAACUUCCUGCCCAAGCCCAGUGUUUCCUAUGAUUUAUGCUGCAUUAAUCUGACUAAGAGUACUCACCCUGUGCUAUUAACCAAGGUAGAGUUUAGAAAGCAACAGAAUCAUGUCCUCUAUCUCCCACACUCCCCUCCCCCUGCUCUCCUAAGCUCUUCUACACUGUUUAAUCUGUAGGUCAUAAAUCCCAAGCACUACAUUUCACCACUGGGUCUACUCAAAUGUAUAUUACACAUCAAUUCACAAUGCAGGGCUUAAUCCAUAAUCAUUUAACUGAAACACUUGGGACUAGUAGGCAGAAGCUAUGUCUUAAGCGCAGCCCUUGAGGGGUGGUGUGAAAUACUUUAUGCUGUAACAUCGACUAGUCAUGCAUGUAUUGUGCUGCAUAAAACCUUUUGGUUUUCACUUGUGUUUCAGACUCUAUGCCCCAAACCAGGGGGUAAGUAUGUUGACUCACAGCUCUGGAAUCCCACAGGGCGCUAGGGUGUUUGUAAAGCUCUUGCUUUCCACGGGAAAACAGCAACGUGACCAGCACGGGGUCAUGUUCUCUGCAAAGAAGGUUUAGCUCACAGAACUCAGAUUUGACAAGAGCAAAAAGAACCCAAUCCACUUUAAACUUGACAAACGUGAUCUAUCAUCCUUGAACCAGUGGUAGUGAUUUAGAAGGAGAAAGAAAAACUUCUGGCAGCCAGAGUUUAUGUUUUCAGUUCCCCUCUCUAAAGGUCUUCCCAUGUUUCUUUUUCAGGGGAAAUUUCCAAUUCCCACUAGAUCUGAUGAAACCUUCAAACCUAAAAACCCCCGCAGGAAAGUAAAAGUUCGCGUUAAGAUCCGACAGUGUCUGUUCAACUGUUAACUCAUUGAAUAACCAUUGACUUCAGAUUUGCCCAUAGCCAGCCACUGCCCUGGGGAUGUGGAGCUGGAGGAGAAGCCGUUCUGUUUCUCGGUGCAACAGAGCCUGAAGAGCUGUGCUCCCAUCUCCAGGAGUGAUGCAGGCUGAGGAGAUGUGAUCUCUUCUCCCAGUGUGAUGGGAGUGAGGAGAAAUACCUAUCUCCAAGUGCAAUGCAGGCAGAAAGCAGAGGAGAAGGAUUUGUGCAUCUUGGCAUGAUGGAAUCUGAGGAGAAGCACUCCAGCAUCCAGCAGGGAUGAGGCAGAGGAGGCACAAUUCCACCUCCAAAUCACUACAGCCUGACUAAGUGAGCCUAGAUCAAGUGUGCUGGCCGCUGUAUGGUACAUGAACAGAGAGGCACAGCAGGGUCGGUUUCCACCAAGGAUUCAGGAAAAGCCUCACGAGGGAUGCAGCAUUUGGAGCCUGCCAGGAACUGUGCUAUUGUUAUUUGGGGCAGGCAUUCUCAAAAGGAAGGGAACAGUUUGGCAAAGGAACAUGACUGGGUCCUGGCCUCGUAAAGACAGGCUGAGAUCUUGUGAGAAGCAGCCCAACACAGACAGCAAAUGCACUCCUUGGUGCUCCAAGUUAAAAAGAAGUUAUCUGGGUAUAGAGGCUGGUGAUUGUCAUCCCAGGAUCUGGAAGCAAGGGGGUUGCACAAAGUGUGAGGCCAGCCUGGGCUACACAGUGUUUCGGGA
Molecule: long non-coding RNA, 2184 nt
Organism: Arvicola amphibius (Eurasian water vole)
Lineage: Eukaryota; Metazoa; Chordata; Mammalia; Rodentia; Cricetidae
Exons: 3
Source: RefSeq, a predicted model, not a curated record